RNAcentral lists this ribosomal RNA (497 nucleotides) under uncultured bacterium. Its description in RNAcentral is "partial 16S ribosomal RNA". It matches the Rfam family "Bacterial small subunit ribosomal RNA", at positions 28 to 507 of the family's 1533-position model. The record is from RNAcentral.
GAUGAACGCUGGCGGCGUGCCUAAUACAUGCAAGUCGAGCGAACAGACGAGGAGCUUGCUCCUCUGACGUUAGCGGCGGACGGGUGAGUAACACGUGGAUAACCUACCUAUAAGACUGGGAUAACUUCGGGAAACCGGAGCUAAUACCGGAUAAUAUAUUGAACCGCAUGGUUCAAUAGUGAAAGACGGUUUUGCUGUCACUUAUAGAUGGAUCCGCGCCGCAUUAGCUAGUUGAUAAGGUAACGGCUUACCAAGGCAACGAUGCGUAGCCGACCUGAGAGGGUGAUCGGCCACACUGGAACUGAGACACGGUCCAGACUCCUACGGGAGGCAGCAGUAGGGAAUCUUCCGCAAUGGGCGAAAGCCUGACGGAGCAACGCCGCGUGAGUGAUGAAGGUCUUCGGAUCGUAAAACUCUGUUAUUAGGGAAGAACAAAUGUGUAAGUAACUAUGCACGUCUUGACGGUACCUGAUCAGAAAGCCACGGCUAACUACGUG